AUACGUACUGUGCGAACGUUAUUCGGAAUCACUGGGCUUAAAGGGUGUGUGGGCGGCAAUAUAAGUAGGAUGUGAAAUCUCUCGGCUUAACCGGGAAACUGCGUUCUAAACUGUAUUGCUUGAGUAAGAUAGGGGUGUGCGGAACCUCCGGUGGAGCGGUGAAAUGUGUUGAGAUCGGAGGGAACACCAGAAGCGAAGGCGGCACACUGGGUCUUAACUGACGCUGAGACACGAAAGCUAGGGUAGCGAACGGGAUUAGAAACCCUUGUAGUCC
This 274-nucleotide ribosomal RNA is filed under the name uncultured bacterium. RNAcentral's name for it is "partial 16S ribosomal RNA". It matches the Rfam family "Bacterial small subunit ribosomal RNA", at positions 523 to 796 of the family's 1533-position model. The record is from RNAcentral.